This 1078-nucleotide long non-coding RNA is filed under the name Macaca fascicularis (crab-eating macaque). RNAcentral describes it as "lncRNA (ENSMFAG00000056714.1)". Lineage: Eukaryota; Metazoa; Chordata; Mammalia; Primates; Cercopithecidae. The record is from RNAcentral.
GGCUGUUGCGCGGCGCUGGCGGGCGGGGACACCGCCGGGGAGUGGAUACUCCCAGGCGCAAACUGGGGCCUCUACCCGCCCUCCCCUGGGUGCGGAGCCGGACGGCGGGCACUGGCAACCACCGGGACCCUGGAGAGCCCCGCGGCUGCCCAAGACCCGCUCCCGAGACACCUGGCCCCUCCGGACUUGGUUGGUCCCUGGAGCCAGCUGCGCGCGUUCUUUCAGGCCUCCUUGUCGGCGCUGGCGUGGGUCCACGUCUGCCUCGCGGAGCACGGUGGUUCCACGCUCCUGAGCGCCCAUGCUGAGCGCAGACCUGGCCGAUUUGCGAGGCGACGGCAGCGCACUGAAGACCGUGGUGUUUCCCAAGCCCUCCCUGCUCCCGGGUCUCCAGGGCGCAGCAGGGGAGGGUUUUGUCCCCGUGGCCAAAGCUCUGCAGGUCGAACCUUAUCUGCACUGGGAAGGCCCCGCAUUUUCAGAUUCACGCAGGGCCCUCUGCAGACUGUUGGCAGAAACAAGGUAGACACCAAACACAUGCAUAAGCUGGACUUUUUCCAGAAUGUGCUGCAACAGAACUACCCUCCAGAUAGACACCAGCCUGUGGGCCACAGUGCUGCGUGAGUCUUGCAAAGAGAUCUUUAUGGCAAGGCUGAGAGCACUGCCUGCACGCUUUACCAGAGCCCAGCCUCCAGCCUCCAUGGAAAAUAUGUUUCGGAAUCAACACUCUUUCCAAAUACUCCACACUGCUCUCUGGUAGCAUUGGCCUGGGCGCCCAGGCACCCCUUUAGAACCCACCUGUUCCCCCCACCCACCCCAGCGGGAGGAGGAGAGGGUUACGCUGACAGAUAAGGGCAGCUCUGCAGCGCCGGAACAACACAGACAACAUACAACUCGACACAAGUCACAGAAGGUGGCGUCCAUCGCGCUUGGAUGGUGACUACUGCCCUGCAGGCUGCUGGGUGGGGUGAAACAGGGAAGAAGCACAAAUACACACCCAGAUGUGGCUCAGGGACAUUUGAACGCUUCAGUGCGUGAAUUUUUUUAGCGCGUUCUGACUCGAAAUUAUGACUGAAUAGUGGCG